CUUCUCCAAGUCGAUAAGCACCAUGUGCAUGUCCUUUUUCUUAUCCCUGAACUGCUUCACCAGCCUCCUGACAAGGUGGAUAGCUUCUGUAGUGGAGCGACCCGGCAUGAAACCGAACUGGUUCACAGAUACAGAUGUCAUUUCCCUCACCCUUGCCUCGAUCACCCGCUCCCUGACCUUCACGGUGUGACUAAUUAAUUUGAUACCCCUAUAGUUGUUGUAGCACUGGAUGUCCCAUUUGUUCUUGUACAAGGGCACCACUGUACUCCACCUCAACUCCUCCGGCAUCCUUUUGGUCCUGAAGAUCGCAUUGAAC
Molecule: long non-coding RNA, 316 nt
Filed under: Nicotiana benthamiana
Lineage: Eukaryota; Viridiplantae; Streptophyta; Magnoliopsida; Solanales; Solanaceae
Description: long non-coding RNA (NBEN_LNC020593)
Source: RNAcentral